GAGACGUGCUGCUGCUGCGCACUUUCUGCAUCUCCGAAGCAGCACAGGAUUGUCGUGAAAUGUAAGCGGUACAAAAGCAAUUUACUAGACAUGAAAAUACAGAAGCUCUCUCAUAACCCACGCAGACAACCUCACAGUCCAACAAAACAAAGAAAGAGGUGGAUAUGGUGAAACUGUACGGACGGUGAACGAUGGGCGCGGACAGGAAUUCCACACCCCUGGGAGAAUCAUGGUCCCAGCUUUUCUUAAUUAUUUCCUACAACCUACAGGAAUUUUGAAGGGCCAUCCUUAGCUGUGGGCCCCCAGAAUCAUCAACACCUUUCACCUCACCAGUAAAGACGAGUGAAGUGAAGUCACAAAGACAUUUUAUGGCUACAGAGGCGAACUGCACAGAAUGUGGUCGACAUGUUUAGAUAACAGACGGAUCUACAGUUUCAGGAGCUGAGGCCCUCACGCUGCAGGGACGGAUUUCAUGCUCUGGGUUGUCACCAGGACAAGACUGAGACAAGGUUUGGAUUGAGACUAGAGUCCUGCUGGGAUAGGAGGGGGUUUCUGAAAAUAUUUAGAGUAUCAUUGGAAGUGCUGAGGACACAUUUGAUGGACUUGUUAUAGCAGACGUUGGUGUUCCAAAAGCGGCCAUAAACGUGGUUUCUGAUGUGGCCAAAUAUAUCCAGCACUUGGGAGCAAAGUGGGUCAGCAAGUUCUCUCAUGAACUUUCAGUCUAAUAUGAAACUUAAGGCUUAGUUUUUAUUAUUGCAAACUUUUACUAUUUUCUAUGUGAGUGAAUCUAAAAAAUGUUUCCACCAAAAGCCCAUAUUUAGUCUUUUGACUGUCGGACAAUACUGAAAAAAGGUUCAUUGUAAUUUUCAAAAGUAUGAGGUUAUGUUCAAAAACCAAAAGAAACACAGUUAACAGGCAAAAAAGUUCAUGGAAAUCUAGAAAUUCUUCACAUUUUACACAGUAGAUCCAGAAGACAUCAAUGAUUUUUUGUUAGUUUAGAGGUAUAAAUCGUAAAUUUAUUAUCAAAAAUUGUUGUCCAUUAAUUAAAGGCAGUGUGUUUUUGUCCACCAAACCAAUGACUUAAAAGAGCUUCAUUUAGUAAUAAUUUCAACCUAUCGAUGUGUGAAAUAUUCUAUAUCUCCUCCAAGACCAAAACUCCUUCAUCUAUCUGGUAAUUAGUGUAAGUGUAAUAAUAAGCAGAUACCACUCUUGAAAUACUUUUAAACUCCUUGAUAUUGUUCCUGCUUGUCAAUCUGAAAGCAGCAGCAGUCAGCGUGUCGGCGGCUAAUGACAGAGGAAGUGACGUCUGACAGCUCCGGUCUGCCGCCGUGGUCGGUCCUUUAAGAGCAAAAGGAGGUGUCCGCGUUUCAAAGCUAAUGGAGGAGGAGAAAAUGGCUGUGUCAGUCCUGUCAACGUAUUAUGUUUUAAACCUAGACAGUUGUUGUCGCUCUAGCAGGCCCAUAAUUUUAUGCCAUUAAAAGUGCCAAGGGGGAAAGAGUGAAGGAGGAAGGAAGCGAAGCAGGAGGGAGGGAGGAUUUUUCUACCUCUUGUUCCCUUCAUGCCUGAUUCCCUGCCACUUUUGUGUUGGAAACUUUUGGCAUUUCUUGAAAGCAUAAAGACUAGUUGGAGCUUUAAAGUGAUCAUAAAGUCAAUCAUGUUGGCUCGAAUUACCCGGCAAUCUCUGUCAGUUAGUCGCUCUUUCAGACGCUUUGCCAUAAGAUGUGUGUGGGAGUGGGGUGUAGAUGUGUGUGUGAUGCCCCUGUGUACAUUAAUGUACAGACUGUAAGUGUGUAUGACACAGAAGACUGAAAAUAA
This is a long non-coding RNA of Notolabrus celidotus (New Zealand spotty), 1815 nucleotides long. RefSeq lists it as uncharacterized. The record is from RefSeq and is a predicted model, not a curated record. The transcript is spliced from 4 exons. Lineage: Eukaryota; Metazoa; Chordata; Actinopteri; Labriformes; Labridae.